CGCGUAGGUAACCUGCCUGGUAGCGGGGGAUAACUAUUGGAAACGAUAGCUAAUACCGCAUGACAACAGUUAUUGCAUGAUAGCUGUUUAAAAGGGGCAAUUGCUCCACUACCAGAUGGACCUGCGUUGUAUUAGCUAGUUGGUGAGGUAACGGCUCACCAAGGCGACGAUACAUAGCCGACCUGAGAGGGUGAUCGGCCACACUGGGACUGAGACACGGCCCAG
RNAcentral lists this ribosomal RNA (225 nucleotides) under uncultured bacterium. RNAcentral describes it as "partial 16S ribosomal RNA". It matches the Rfam family "Bacterial small subunit ribosomal RNA", at positions 114 to 334 of the family's 1533-position model. The record is from RNAcentral.